This 682-nucleotide ribosomal RNA is filed under the name bacterium. Its description in RNAcentral is "bacterial SSU rRNA". It matches the Rfam family "Bacterial small subunit ribosomal RNA", at positions 34 to 695 of the family's 1533-position model. The record is from RNAcentral.
CCCAGUUCCGGCGUUGCCUAUACAUGCAAGUCGAGCGAAUCGAUGGGAGCUUGCUCCCUGAGAUUAGCGGCGGACGGGUGAGUAACACGUGGGCAACCUGCCUAUAAGACUGGGAUAACUUCGGGAAACCGGAGCUAAUACCGGAUACGUUCUUUUCUCGCAUGAGAGAAGAUGGAAAGACGGUUUACGCUGUCACUUAUAGAUGGGCCCGCGGCGCAUUAGCUAGUUGGUGAGGUAAUGGCUCACCAAGGCGACGAUGCGUAGCCGACCUGAGAGGGUGAUCGGCCACACUGGGACUGAGACACGGCCCAGACUCCUACGGGAGGCAGCAGUAGGGAAUCUUCCGCAAUGGACGAAAGUCUGACGGAGCAACGCCGCGUGAACGAAGAAGGCCUUCGGGUCGUAAAGUUCUGUUGUUAGGGAAGAACAAGUACCAGAGUAACUGCUGGUACCUUGACGGUACCUAACCAGAAAGCCACGGCUAACUACGUGCCAGCAGCCGCGGUAAUACGUAGGUGGCAAGCGUUGUCCGGAAUUAUUGGGCGUAAAGCGCGCGCAGGUGGUUCCUUAAGUCUGAUGUGAAAGCCCACGGCUCAACCGUGGAGGGUCAUUGGAAACUGGGGAACUUGAGUGCAGAAGAGGAAAGUGGAAUUCCAAGUGGGGCGGGGGAGAUGGCGUAGAG